GCCGCCGUGGUGGAAUGGUAUACACAAGGGACUUAAAAUCCCUCGGGCGUAAGCCCUUGUCGGUUCGAGUCCGACCGGCGGUACCA
RNAcentral lists this transfer RNA (86 nucleotides) under bacterium. Its description in RNAcentral is "tRNA-Leu". It matches the Rfam family "tRNA". Rfam says of the family: Transfer RNA (tRNA) molecules are approximately 80 nucleotides in length. Their secondary structure includes four short double-helical elements and three loops (D, anti-codon, and T loops). The record is from RNAcentral.